UGGGGAUGCGUUCCAUUAGUUUGUUGGCGGGGUAACGGCCCACCAAGACAUCGAUGGAUAGGGGUUCUGAGAGGAAGGUCCCCCACAUUGGAACUGAGACACGGUCCAAACUCCUACGGGAGGCAGCAGUGAGGAAUAUUGGUCAAUGGACGAGAGUCUGAACCAGCCAAGUAGCGUGAAGGAUGACUGCCCUAUGGGUUGUAAACUUCUUUUAUAUGGGAAUAAAGUGAGCCACGUGUGGCUUUUUGUAUGUACCAUACGAAUAAGGAUCGGCUAACUCCGUGCCAGCAGCCGCGGUAAUACGGAGGAUCCGAGCGUUAUCCGGAUUUAUUGGGUUUAAAGGGAGCGUAGGCGGACUAUUAAGUCAGCUGUGAAAGUUUGCGGCUCAACCGUAAAAUUGCAGUUGAUACUGGUCGUCUUGAGUGCAGUAGAGGUAGGCGGAAUUCGUGGUGUAGCGGUGAAAUGCUUAGAUAUCACGAAGAACUCCGAUUGCGAAGGCAGCUUACUGGACUGUAACUGACGCUGAUGCUCGAAAGUGUGGGUAUCAAACAGGAUUAGAUACCCUGGUAGUCCACACAGUAAACGAUGAAUACUCGCUGUUUGCGAUAUACGGCAAGCGGCCAAGCGAAAGCAUUAAGUAUUCCACCUGGGGAGUAC
This 657-nucleotide ribosomal RNA is filed under the name uncultured bacterium. RNAcentral's name for it is "bacterial SSU rRNA". It matches the Rfam family "Bacterial small subunit ribosomal RNA", at positions 226 to 883 of the family's 1533-position model. The record is from RNAcentral.